Mercenaria mercenaria is the source of this 1798-nucleotide long non-coding RNA. RefSeq lists it as uncharacterized. The transcript has 3 exons. The record is from RefSeq and is a predicted model, not a curated record. NCBI's taxonomy places the organism in Eukaryota, Metazoa, Mollusca, Bivalvia, Venerida, Veneridae.
ACAUAAUACACAAACAUUUCUUUGAGUUCCAAAGACUUUCUGUAAAUUUUGACCUGCCAAUCUUCAUUAUUUAGUGUCUUGCAGAAGUCUAUGCACUGGCUAUGAAAAAAAUUGCCAACUCACUUUCCCUUAGUAAUGGACCUUUAAAUCUGCAUUUCCCUUAAAAAUAUCUCAUACUUCAAAGUCAGAGAGGAUAUCUCAGAAAAUGUUGAUAACAGUUUUAAUCAGUGUAAAUGCUUCCAUUAACUGUCUCAUCAGUACUUUUUUAUCAAACUGUUUUUGCAUUUUUAUUCAAUUUACGGGAAAAUGAUGAAUGAUGAUUAUAAGUCACUCGAAUUUAAUAUAUUUCAGGUGAUGCCCGGUCCAGUGGUUUUGCCGUGUCAGAUGAAGAUUUUGAGAAGUAAGCUAUUAAAGAGUGCCUUUACAAAGAAUCUGUGAUGAAGUGAUUUGGAAAAACAAUAGAUCAAGAGAAGAAAAAAAAACAGUCAAUAGUGAUCCGGAAACAAAUACAGCUACAAUGUUUCGGACAGUUGACAGUAUCAAUAAAACAAUAAGACCCAUACAAUUCCAGAACGCCCCUAAACGCCCAUAUUAUAUAUACGACAUGGGACCCAGAAAGAUCCCACAUGGGUUAUAAGAUCUGGGACCCAUAAGGGACCCACAUUGGUCCCAUAUAGUAUAUCCCAUAUGGGACCCAUGCCAAAAUGGUUUGCAAAACCCAUCUGGGUCCCAUGUGGGUAGCCCAUAUAGGUCCCACAUGGGAAACCAUAUGGGUCCCAAUGAUAAUAUUUGGUUGUUUACAUUUAAAUUUGCUGAUAUAUGUCUAUCUGGUGAAUGUACAUAUGUUAUGUUCAGGAGGAAAUAAAAGAAUCAAUUAAUCAUCCUCGGGUUAAGUAUUGUGUAAUCCAUGGAGUCGCCUCAAUUGAGAAAGAAUAGUUUAACGUCAGAGGUUAUUUCUAAGGUCACGGAGUUUAAUUGGCCAGCUUGUAAUUACACAGCUUUCCACAUCAGUAGCUCAGUCAAGUGUGACUUAUUGAAUUAAGAUAUUCCUUCUCAAGAGAAGGAAUAACAAGAGCAAAUUAUGGCAUCAAUUUUCAAGCUUUCUUGAAGUUAUUCGAUGUUUUUUUUCCUAACCACAGACAGGAAUAAACAUACCCACACACGCAGGGUCGCACGCACAUAAGCAAAUACUGCAACAAAUCUGUAAACUGGACAAAAUCUGAUAAACCACAUUAAGAUAACUCAUGAAUUUCUUACCUCUUUUUUGCAGUUCAGCUAAGCGACACUACAGAAUGCUACGACUGUUCCGGAUGUAAAAUACAAAUUUCAGGGAGUACAGACUGUCCGAAGUUUUGUAAAAAGCCGGGAUCUUCUCCUGAUGAUGAGUUCGUCAAGCGGUGCUCGCAGAAGUUUUUCUGUGCGACUGAUGCCUGUUACUGUUCUGAUCAUACAUGUAGUGGAGCCCAGUUGGUGAAGAUACCUGUGUUUGUUUUACUGUCAUACAUGUGUGUCACUUUUUCAUUGAAAUAUAUUUUGUAACUGCCAGCUGUCAUUGUGCUAAGAAUAACAUUUCAUUUCAUAAACAUAACAUUUUUGAGCUUAAUAACCGACUCAUCUGUUAACUUUGGUCUUAGGACCUUUGCCAGGAAAAAAUACUUAUGAAAACUGAAACAAGUACUCCUGCAUGUUUUGCUAUAUGAACAAAGUCUCUCCAAAAUAUACAUGAUCAUACAGUGCUGUCUUUCUCUUACAUCAGUUUUUGUUAAUGUCUAUAUGUCUAUGAAAAUAUCAUGUAUGC